Phyllostomus discolor (pale spear-nosed bat) is the source of this 1921-nucleotide long non-coding RNA. RefSeq lists it as uncharacterized. Lineage: Eukaryota; Metazoa; Chordata; Mammalia; Chiroptera; Phyllostomidae. The transcript is spliced from 3 exons. The record is from RefSeq and is a predicted model, not a curated record.
GAUUGCAAAAUAUCAUGCUGUUAGCAUUUGGCAGAAGACAGAUUAAGAAAUGCAGUAGGCAGCAAAUAGAGAAUUAAACAGAGAAGAACAGAAAAAGAUAGUCCACACCCCGCUGGGUGAUGGAGCCGUGACGUUAGCCAGCUUGUGAAGGCAGCAUCACCAGUGCCUUGGAGACGGGCAGCAAAUUGACGCAGCUUCUUGUCCAAUCCUCAGAUGAAAUAGCUUUCUUCAGACAACCAAUGAAUGCUAAAUCUCGUGUCCAGAAACACAUUCCCUCUGAUAACAGCAUGCCAGCUGAAGACAAUGUCCCCUCCCCCGCUUUCCUAUUCAGCCUGUCACAGUAUACUUGUGAAGCAUAAUACAUUCUGAGACAAAAGCAAAAUAAUGUGGCUCUUUAAAGGUAUGAAUUACUUGUCUUCAAAAAAUUCAAUUUUAUUUGUAAAGACACGGAGAGUUAAAAAAAAUCCAUUAAUUACCAUUGCUGAGCUUUAUUGCGGUAGGAAAAAAAAAUCAGAAGCUUGAAGCCUUUGCCUCGAUUAGGAUAGGUCUGUAGACUAGCAAUACGUGAACGACGUACCAAAUGCUAUGAACCUCUUGGAGGCAGUGCUCCAAAACCCAAAACAGUGAAUACAUUCUCAGAUGACGGUAAUAUUCUAACGUGCUGUAAUCUGUACACUUGACACAAAUUCAAUACCGAAUUUCAACAAACAACAAAUCUUAAAAAUAUUUUUAGAAAGGAGGCUAGGAUCUCUGACAAUGAGCAGAUAUCCAACUAAUGAGAUGUAAAUGUUUUCUCUUCAUUCUAUUUUUUAAUAUAUCACAGGCUGAACAGAGGUAUAUAAUUUAAGACCCUCAAUACAAACUUCCUAGAGUAGUCAAGAUCUAACAAACAAGAUUCUUUGGAAAGCUUAAUUGAAGAACAAGGAAUUUUAAUACUAUAGCAUUUGUCCAUUCAAAGAUGAAAAGAAUAGCCAGGGCUAUGAUUCAGCUAUAAUACACCGACUCAGUUUGCUAUAUUAUUAAAGAAAUAAUCUUAUUUUAAUGCUAUUAAGAAAUAAACUUAAAUUAUUUUUAAAAACCUUCCUUGUAGGCAGACACUUCCCGGCAUUUUGUUUGUUUUGUUACAAAACGCAGGGUAUUGAUGCAGAGACUACAGAGACACCUCAGGGCCACCAAGCCCGUGUUUAAGUUCUAUACCCAAUCUGUCUUGCUUCUCCAAGAUCAUGUUAAAAAUCUAAAAACUAUAAGGAGUUAUUUUCCAGUAAAGAAGAAGUUCCGAAGCCUCUACUCUUCCCUGAGGAAAUUCUGUGCCCCACGAAUGCCACAGGCUCCACAGCGCGCACAGGUGAGUCGGGAUGAGUGACCUGGGAUCACAAGGGGUCCUUCCGAUUCCCACACAUUGGAUUCCAGAUUCUUUAAUUGGCUGACAGUUUAAGAUUUACAUUAUUAUGUCCCUUCACAAUAAAGUUCCUGACUUCUCAAAGCCAAAAACCUAUCUUUAAUAAACAUUUUAGUUGGCAAUAUGGCAGUUAGUGAAUCACUUUAAAAAGCUCCUUUGAGGAAAGGAGUAUAACCCAUAACCUCAAAUACCUUAACAAUCAAGAGCAAAGCAAGUCAAGUUAUGAAUUAUCGAUAAAAGUCAUUCUUUCUGUCAAUGAACAUUCCUUUGAAAGGCCUAUAUGCCAGAGUCAAAAGCAAAACAGACACUAUCAACCUCUGAACUCAAGGACUAUUUGUCUAUGAAGUGAGGUAGACAAGUAAACAGAAGAUUACAGCAGAGUAUAAAAAAAUCUAAUGACACGCUAUGAAGAGCUUCAAGGCUAGUUUACAUGGGAAUAAUAAAAGGCAAGUAAGUAUAGUUCAAGGAAGCCUUCCUGUGAUGGAAGAGGGAGGAACAAGGGCAGAGCUUUGAGGGAGAACA